UACGGGGGGAGCAAGCGUUGUUCGGAUUUACUGGGCGUAAAGGGCGCGUAGGCGGCGUGACAAGUCACUUGUGAAAUCUCCGGGCUUAACUCGGAACGGUCAAGUGAUACUGUCGUGCUAGAGUACAGAAGGGGCAACUGGAAUUCUCGGUGUAGCGGUGAAAUGCGUAGAUAUCGAGAGGAACACCUGCGGCGAAGGCGGGUUGCUGGGCUGAUACUGACGCUGAGGUGCGAAAGCGUGGGGAGCAAACAGG
Molecule: ribosomal RNA, 253 nt
Filed under: uncultured bacterium
Lineage: Bacteria
Description: partial 16S ribosomal RNA
Rfam family: Bacterial small subunit ribosomal RNA
Source: RNAcentral